GAUGAACGCUGGCGGCGUGCCUAAUACAUGCAAGUCGAGCGAACGGACCAGAAUUUUGCUUCUCUGAUGGUAGCGGCGGACGGGUGAGUAACACGUGGAUAACCUACCUUUAAGACUGGGAUUGCUUCGGGAAACCGUAGCUUAUACCGGAUAAUAUUUUGAACCGCAUGGUUCAAAAGUGAAAGGCGGUCUUUCUUUCACUUAUUGAGGGUUCCGCGCUGCAUUAGCUGGUUGGUAAGGUAACGGUUUACCAAGGCAACGAUGCAUAGUCGACGUCGGAGGGUGAGCGGCCACACUGACACUGAGACACGGUCCAGACUCCGACGGGAGGGAGCAGUAGGGAAGCUGACGCAUGGGGCGAAAGCCUGACGCAGCAACACCGCGUGAGUGAUGAAGAUCUUCGGAUCGGAAAACUCAGUUAUUAGGGAAGAACAGAUGUGUAAGUAACUGUGAAGGUCGUGACGGUACCUAAUCAGGAAGCAACGGCUAACUACGUG
RNAcentral lists this ribosomal RNA (497 nucleotides) under uncultured bacterium. Its description in RNAcentral is "partial 16S ribosomal RNA". It matches the Rfam family "Bacterial small subunit ribosomal RNA", at positions 28 to 507 of the family's 1533-position model. The record is from RNAcentral.